Molecule: ribosomal RNA, 480 nt
Filed under: Triticum aestivum (bread wheat)
Lineage: Eukaryota; Viridiplantae; Streptophyta; Magnoliopsida; Poales; Poaceae
Description: partial small subunit ribosomal RNA
Source: RNAcentral
AUGCAAAAUUUACAUUCUCACAUCUUGUAUUUGGACACAGCCAAUCCCCAUCUCGUCGCCAAGACUUCUCAGUACCAACAACACGUCUUCUGCUAUACCAAUUCUGCCAUUGCCCAGGCUGAUUGUAUCCAAAGCAACUCUUAUUUCUUAGGUCUCCACAGCAGCUUCGACUCACUGCCCAACUGCCUCACCAAUUACCUCCUCUGCGGCACUCUAUUCUCUUGCAAUUUCUAUACCUCACAACCAACAGCAAGCAACAACGGUCAGCAAGUGCAGGCAGCAGAGAAACACCACAACCACCCUUCUUCUCUAGCAGCAGCACCAGAACAACAAGCAGCUCCAGCAAACUCAGCAGUAGCAGUCACAGACCAAACCAGCUGCACACAACAGCAAUCGGCAGACUUCCUCCUUCAAUCAGCAAAACCAGCAGCAAGUCAACUCAGCACCACGCACAGCAACUCCCGCGUGCUCACCCAGUAG